AUCUACCACACGGAUAAAGAUCCGAUGUAACAGCAACUAAAGAAUUAAGAAACCCGGAGAUCUCUCAGGCUAGCACCAUCAAAGAAAACAAGUCAGCAAAGCAAUUAGAAUAAAUCUCCAAAUUGUAUCCCACAAAUAAAGUGGAAUACCAAGCAAGCUAUCUCUUCAAGAGUCAUGUGAGCCCUCACAAAAACUCAACAAACAUGUUAGAAUGACAAGAUGGG
Molecule: long non-coding RNA, 224 nt
Filed under: Lathyrus oleraceus (garden pea)
Lineage: Eukaryota; Viridiplantae; Streptophyta; Magnoliopsida; Fabales; Fabaceae
Description: Pisum sativum (pea) long non-coding RNA (PSAT_LNC024304)
Source: RNAcentral